This 1227-nucleotide long non-coding RNA is filed under the name Oreochromis niloticus (Nile tilapia). RNAcentral's name for it is "lncRNA (ENSONIG00000041966.1)". The record is from RNAcentral. Lineage: Eukaryota; Metazoa; Chordata; Actinopteri; Cichliformes; Cichlidae.
UUCAAAACACCAACAGUGAGAUUUAUUAGAGCAAUUUUUAAGAGCACUGAAAUGCAAAAGGGUGACACAAAGGGUAGUUAUCUAAGAUCUAUCACUGUAAAUUAAACAAAGAAGUUCAUUUGGAUUUAUUAAAAUCACUGGAAACUGAUGUCUUCCUCUUGAACAGGGUGAACCAGGACUGAUGGGUGAACUAGGCCCUGUGGGUCUGCCUGGGUUACUGGUGAGUUGAAUACCAGAAUGUAGAGUAUUGAUGCUUUUGAUAUGCUGCUUAGAGUGCUUUUUGAAUUAACCUGUAUUGAAUAGUUCAUAGCUGUGACUGAUAUUUAUUGACACACAGUUGGCUUUUUCCCUCACAACUCUGCAGAUUGCAAACUGAUGUUAAUGUGCAGCUUUAUUGUGCUGUGAUUCUUUUCUCAUUUCAGGGAAUGACAGGUCCUCCUGGACGUCCAGGUCCCGAUGGACCUCAGGGAGAGAAGGGCGAGCAUGGGCCUGUAGGAAUUACUGGACCGCCGGGUUCAGGAGGCCCUCGGGGGAUAAUGGGGUCACAUGGUGUCAGAGGAGAUCCUGGGAGGCUCGGACCACCUGGUCCAGUAGGACAUGCAGGACCAAAGGGACAUGAGGGAAGUAAAGGAGAACCUGGGGAACUGGGACUCAAGGGAGAGCCAGGACCUCCAGGCCCACCAGGGGAGCCGGGCGAUGAUGGUCUUCCAGGAAUUCAGGGUCCUGGAGCUCUGCCAGGGUUAGAGGGGCCUCCCGGAGAGGUGGGGACCCCAGGGUCUCUCAGGUCCUAUAGGUGUUCCUGGAGUUCAAGGAAGACCGGGACCUGAAGGCAAACAGGGCAUGAAGGGGGAGAAGGUACAAUCCUCAUAUCAUAUCAUAUCAUAUCAUAUCAUAUCAUAUCAUAUCAAUCUGUCUAUCUGUCCAUCCAGAAAUGCAGCAUUUUAAACACACCACAUCUUAGUCAACUAGCAACAAGUGCACAAAAACACUAAAGAGGCCCUAGUGAUAUGUUGCACAAAAUGCAAUAUUCAGCUGCACCCACACAGGAAGCAUUUUGCAGCGAUAUGGGGACCAGAGAACACAGAAGAUGAAUGACAUUUGAUGAUUUAAGCAACUAUGGGCAAAAAAAAUGAUGAUUCCAGCAAGAGUCACAUGACAGGGUAGUAACCUGGAAUGCCUAUAAUCACCUUUCAGCUUUAGAGUAAUGCGCAACAAGUUUCAUGAGAC